This 497-nucleotide ribosomal RNA is filed under the name uncultured bacterium. RNAcentral describes it as "partial 16S ribosomal RNA". It matches the Rfam family "Bacterial small subunit ribosomal RNA", at positions 28 to 507 of the family's 1533-position model. The record is from RNAcentral.
GAUGAACGCUGGCGGCGUGCCUAACACAUGCAAGUCGAGCGAACGGACGAGAAGCUUGCUCCCCUGAUGUUAGCGGCGGACGGGUGAGUAACACGUGCAUAACCUACCUAUAAGACUGGGAUAACUUCGGGAAACCAGAGCUAAUACCGGAUGAUAUUUUGAACCGCAUGGUUCAAAAGUGAAAGACGGCCUUGCUGUCACAUAUAGCUGGAUCCGCGCUGCAUUAGCUAGUUGGUAAGGUAACGGCCUACCAAGGCAACGAUGCAUAGCCGACCUGAGAGGGUGAUCGGCCACACUGGAACUGAGACACGGUCCAGACUCCUACGGGAGGCAGCAGUAGGGAAUCUUCGGCAAUGGGCGAAAGCCUGACGGAGCAACGCCGCGUGAGUGAUGAAGGUCUUCGGAUCGUAAAGCUCUGUUAUUGGGGAAGAACAUAUGUGUGAGUAAAUGUAGACAUCUUGACGGUACCUAAACAGAAAGCCCCGGCUAACUACGUG